Molecule: non-coding RNA, 2906 nt
Organism: Arachis ipaensis
Lineage: Eukaryota; Viridiplantae; Streptophyta; Magnoliopsida; Fabales; Fabaceae
Source: RefSeq, a predicted model, not a curated record
UUACAAAGCCAUCAAGGUACCUUUUUAUGGAAAUUCAGAAGAUCGAUAGUAGUUACUAUCCUGAGGUAUAUAUGGAUGUCUCUCUAAUAAUUCCUUUUCAAAUGGAAGAUUGAACUUACUGAUUACAAAAUAGUUCGCUACAUGGAUGGCCUUGCAAACUCUUCAUAAGCUAUUUAUUAUUAAUGCUGGAUCCGGCUUCAAAAUGCUAUGAAAAGCCGUUAAAACAUUCCUAGAUGUUUGCACAGUAGCAAAAGUUCAACUUAACUUUUGGCAUGCCAACUAUGUUAUUGUUACUGUGAUUGAUGGUGGCAAUGGAUUGGCACUAUUAAUAAUGGUGGUUUAAUUGUUAGUGAUUAUACAAAUCUUAUUAAUAUUUAAGUUGAUAGUACGUUAAAGGUUUUUUUUCCUUUUGUUUUGUAAUAUUAUUUUGCUUUUGGUUGAACUGAUUUUGGUUUGAUUUAUAGUAAGAAUUUGUCUCCUAUUUUCCUAAAGGCAGCAUAUCUAUAUUAUAAAAAAUUUUAACUGUUACCAUAUUUCAUCUACUUAUGUGAAAGAUUAAUCCUUGACUGGGAAAAACAAAUCACCCCCUCAUUUUUGUUGUUUUUGCAGUAGAGAAGAAGAUCUUGCAGCAAAACCUUACAUAAAAUGGGUAGCAUCAAUGGCUACUUCUCUUGAUACUGGUGUCCCUUGGGUUAUGUGCAUGCAAGCAAAUGUUCCUAAUCCUAUUGUAGGUUUCUUUAUUAUCGUGGAGCUGUACCUUACAAACUUGUGGAAGAUCUCGCAUUUGCUGUGGCAAGAUCUUAUUAACUUAGUGGAACUUUUAUGAAAUACUAUAUGGUUUUGAAACCUAUGAUAUCUUUUAAGUUUGUUAUUAUAGGUAUAUGAGAAAAGAAUUGAGUUGAUAGUACAAAGUUUUGAUGUGAAAUAGUAUCAUGGAGGAACCAAUUUUGGUAGAACCACAGGUGGACCUAUUGUUACUACUAGUUAUGACUAUGAUGCACCACUUGAUGAAUAUGGUAUGAUAUUUAUUUAUUUAUCUAUCUGUUCCGAGGGUUACCUGAAAUAGGGAGGUCGAUCUCGGAUAAAAUCUUUAGAUCUGGACUGGGCUGCCUGCGUCUGACUUGUUGAUGUAGGAGAUGCUACGAGUCCUAGUUCACCGGAAGGGGGUGGUACAUGCAAGAGACUCUGAUACUUAAGUCAGUACGGGCUUUAGGCAGGUUUUUAAUAGAAUUGGAGUAUCCGUUUUACCUGGGUGCUCCAGUGUAUUUAUAGUAGUGCGGAGUGACCUUCCUUGAGAUAAGUUAGUUAUCUUAUCUUAUCUUUUGUGGGUGAGAUCACUUAUCUUUUGGCCAGCCGCCUUCAGGUGGGCUGUGAUCCUCUGCUUUGGGCCUGUUUGGGCCUCUAUGGUGAUUUAGCCGAGCUCUUUAGAAAGAGGUCGGUGACGGGCCAACCUUACAAGAAGUCGGUCGCUUUGUCUUCGUCCAGCCUGGACCGUAUAGCUCGGUCCAAGGUAUGAAUAGUUUCCCUGCUUGAGCUUCGAUCUUCCCCUUGAGGUCGUGCUUUUAAACUUCGACUCCUUGGAGGAAGUCGUGCUCAAGCAUUACGUCCGAUCUGCUCCUACUUCGGAUAGUUUUUGCGUUCUUUAAUGUCUUUCAAAACGCGAUGCCUUUUUUUUAAAUGCGGCGUCAUUCCCUAGCGCAUCAAUUUUGGGUUUAUGCGAGCGCUAUUAGGGCUUUUAAUUCCCUUUGCCGUUUCGUUCCCUCGCUCAAUUUGAAUUUAGAGAAGUUUCCUUCUUUCCUUUGAAAUCAAAGAGAUUUUGGUUUUUUCAGUUCUUUCUUCUGCUUUUGUUUUGCCCCAAGUUUUUUUUUCUUUCUUUGAAGUUUCAAAGCAUCUGCUGGACCGUUCGUGCUUUCGCCACGCAUCCAUCGUUGCUUCUUGUUCUCCUUUGCAGGUUGGUAUUUUGCUUCCUAUCCUUUCUCGUUUUAUGUGUUUUGAUUGUCGUCCUUCUUUGUGCUUUACUACUGCAUGCUUUCUUUUUUGCACAAAGUUUUGAUCUUGCUGAGCUUUUUGAAAACUUUCUGGUGGUUGUUGCAUGCCUUUGUUUCUUCAAAGUUGCGAUCUUUUUUAUCUUCGUUGCUUCGUUUAGAGAAAUGUAGGCGCUUAGGUGAACCGUUUUUAGUUGCGGUUUUUUCUUUUUGGUGAAGGGGCUAGGGUUUUGAUUUUUGUUUGACUUUCCUAUGUGUUUUUCCUUCUUUGUAUCUGUAUUACCUCUGAAGGGUGCCUCUGGGUUUUUGGUGGUGAUUUUUUGUUGCUUUUGUGAAUCCUGGGGUGCCCUUUUGCUGCUAUACCUGUUGUUUGCUGGUUGUUUCUUUAUUUUCUAUUUUUGUCCGAGUUGUUUGGUAGUGACCCUUUUUCUUUUUUUCUUACUGUAGGUAUAGUUGUUCUAUGUCUUCUCGUAAAAAUAUUGUCGAGAUGUCUACAAAGGUUCCCCCUGGUAUGCCAGACUGGUUAGAUUCUAUAGUGUUGAUGUGUGUUACUGUGGCCGACCCAGAAUACUGUGAGAAAUUUAGGAGAUUUCAUAGGAUCUGUAGUAGUAGGGAUGAUGAGAAAAAUUACGAGCUGGUGUCACCUGACCCUGAGUAGAGGGUUAGUUUUCCUCCCUUAACUUGGGAAGAACGUCCUUUCUUCUAUGCCUAUGACUAUUUUUUUAGCCAAUUAGGUAUUACCCUUCCUUUUACUGUGUUUGAGACUGAGGUUUUGUGGAAGUGUAAUGUGGCCCUGUCACAGCUUUGAUAAACCACUUUUUAUCCUAUGUUUAAUUGAGUGGUUUCAUCAAGUCUUCACCCACUUAUUCAUAUGAUUUACAUGAUUUUACAAUUCCUUCCUAGUUUUGUUUUAUGAUUGAA